GACGAACGCUGGCGGCGUGCUUAACACAUGCAAGUCGAACGGAAAGGCCCUGCUUUUGUGGGGUGCUCGCGUGGCGAACGGGUGAGUAACACGUGAGUAACCUGCCCUUGACUUUGGGAUGACUUCAGGAAACUGGGGAUAAUACAGGCUAGGAGCUCCAGAUGCAUGGGGGGGGUUGGAAAGUUUCGGAGGAUUGGGAUGGACUCGCGGCUUAUCAGCUUGUUGGGGGGGUAGUGGCUUAGCAACGGUUUGGCGGGUAGUCGGCCUGAGAGGGUGACCGGCCUCAUUGCGACUGCGAUACGGCCCAGACUCCUACAGGAGGCAGCAGUGGGGAAUAUUGCACAAUGGGCGGAAGCCUGUUGCAGCAACGCCGCGUGCGGGAUGACGGCCUUCUGGUUGUAAACCGCUUUCGCCUGUGACGAAGCGUUAUUGACGGUAAUGGGUAAAGAAGCACCGGCUAACUACGUG
Molecule: ribosomal RNA, 468 nt
Filed under: uncultured bacterium
Lineage: Bacteria
Description: partial 16S ribosomal RNA
Rfam family: Bacterial small subunit ribosomal RNA
Source: RNAcentral